AGGAUUAACGCUGGCGGCGUGCCUGACACAUGCAAGUCGAACGAGGCCGCAAGGCCGAGUGGCGGACGGGUGAGUAACACGUGACCAACCAACCUCGAAGUUGGGAAUAGCUCUGCGAAAGUAGGGGUAAUACCGAAUGUGGCCCAGGGCGGGCAUCCGCCUUGGUCUAAAGAUUCAUCGCUUCGAGACGGGGUUGCGGCCUAUUAGCUUGUUGGUGAGGUAACGGCUCACCAAGGCGAUGAUGGGUAGCUGGUCUGAGAGGACGACCAGCCACACUGGGACUGAGACACGGCCCAGACUCCUACGGGAGGCAGCAGUGAGGAAUCUUCCGCAAUGGGCGAAAGCCUGACGGAGCAACGCCGCGUGUGGGAUGGAAGACUCUAGGGUUGUAAACCACUGGUCGGAGGGGACGAUCGUGACGGUACCCUCAAGAACGCCCCGGCUAACUACGCGCCAGCAGCCGC
Molecule: ribosomal RNA, 464 nt
Filed under: uncultured bacterium
Lineage: Bacteria
Description: SSU rRNA
Rfam family: Bacterial small subunit ribosomal RNA
Source: RNAcentral